AUUGUUAUUUUAAUUUAAGAAUCUUAUAUACUUUAAAUGUUGAAUUCAUUGUAUUAAUAAAAGACAUGUAUUAGUUUACACUCCAAAGUUAAUUGUCAGACUCUUUCUAAAUUGAUCUAGCUAUUAAUUCGUAGAGCUCAACUAACAUUGAUUGAUCAGUGCAUUCUCUCUCUAAUGUUGAAGAAAAAAGUAAAUAAUGAUUAAUGAGUAGAAACCAAAAAAAAAAUUCCAAUCAAAGGGCUUUCUAUUAAAAUGCAGAAAAAGGGAAAAUAGUCAAUGCCUAAGGGCCAGUGUUUAAAUUCGGCCCAAUUAAAAGAAUAAACACAGCAGCCCAAAGAUUUUUGCUUUUUGCUAGUACAGAGAAACUCAAUCACUACAGAGUUCUGGUGAACCAAAUUGGGGGAGAGAGAAAUCAAAGUUUCGAAGAAACCUGUGAUGAAGAUGGGUAGUCUCAACGAUUUCAUGUGCCAUGAGAGAGGAGUAAAUAGCUGAAAUUGUUAGAUUAAAUUUGACGGAGCCGUAGAAGGCCAUAGUUGGAGAAUCUAAGCAGAGAGAAGGAGAGAUCGAUGUCAGCAUUAAUGGAUUAUCAGCAAAAUCCGCCGCUGUCUUCUGAAACUUCGCCAUGCCAACUGACUGUCCGCCGGAAAUUGCAUCACCGGAGACGCCAACCAACAAUCAGACUCAUGACAUAAUGGCUUGCGUGAUGGCUUUGGAAGCUGCUAUGUUGCCAUGUUUGCCCGCUAGAGAGCUUCAAGACUUCAACCGCUCCUCAUCCUUCUCAUCAAAUUGUGUUGGUAUACUGGCGUCAGGAGUGAAGCACCUUCACCUGCAAAUGCACAGACCAAGCGGUUUUGUAUGGCCUGAUGUCCAUCUAUGUAGUAAAGGAUGCAGCCAUUGUUAUUGGUAAUGUUUUCUGAGCUUAAGAGAGAAAUAGAAAUGGAAUUGGUGUUUUGUUCGUGCAGUGGUAGUAGAAAUGAGCAUGUAUUUAUAGAUUAGUAGGGUUUUGUGUUAGAGAAUAUACAAAAUCUAGAUUAGCAAGGCGUUGAUAUAUUCAAAAAUCUUUAAAUCGUCACAAAUCUAGAAUAUGCUACAUAUAUUCUUAACCAUUUUAGGAUAAUAUCUUUAAAAA
Molecule: long non-coding RNA, 1129 nt
Organism: Arabidopsis lyrata subsp. lyrata
Lineage: Eukaryota; Viridiplantae; Streptophyta; Magnoliopsida; Brassicales; Brassicaceae
Exons: 2
Source: RefSeq, a predicted model, not a curated record